CAGACUGGACACUGGGAAAAAUGUCUUUGCUGGGAGUUUAGAUAACAUUGCAACAGGCUUCCUGGGAAGGUUGUUGAUGUUUUAAUUUUGGAUCAGCCCUGAAGUAGUCUGACAGUUGGAUUCUAUCAUCUUUGUAAGUCCUUUCCAACUGAACUACUCUGUUCUAUUCUAAUCUUGGAACACCAUGCAUUUGCUGACUGUAUUGAGAGAAGCAGCAGCACUUCACUAAGUAUAUUUUGUAUCCCUGCUCUACUGAGGUGGAUAUUUGGGCAAAUCUGAGCAAAUUAUUCUACUCUGAACACCAAGAUGAGAGGCAGUCAGCCAGUGAGGGCACAUCUGGAACAAACAGAAGGACAGUGAACAGCAACAUCCUGAGACAAAGCUUAGUUUUGCCAGAAGAGGGAGAGAUUUAUUUCACUCCAUAAUGAAAAAAUAAACUGGCAUAGGAAACUGUGAUUAUGGCUAAA
This 467-nucleotide long non-coding RNA is filed under the name Anas platyrhynchos platyrhynchos (common mallard). Its description in RNAcentral is "lncRNA (ENSAPLG00000020784.1)". Lineage: Eukaryota; Metazoa; Chordata; Aves; Anseriformes; Anatidae. The record is from RNAcentral.